CGCAGAUACUGACGACUCUAUGAGGAACGGAGAGAUUGCAUCGUCAUUCGGAGGCGUACGGGCGUGCGCCUCUAUGUGUGUCGGUCGUUUCGGCGAUUCGGCGCGCACGGGACGCGUCUGUCGACGUCCGUCGACGGCGUGCACUUCUCUCUUAGUAAUGCAUCGCGACCCGUUCGGGGUCGGCCUAAGCGCCACUCGGGAGUCCGUCGGUGAGCGUCUCGGCGUUCGCUGGCGUACCGUGUCGGUUUGCCGGCCGGCCGUUGCGGACGGUAUUAAUGAUGGAUAAUACGCUUCAAUGCGAAUCGCGCACGCGUUUACACGCGCGUCCGGCCCGACGCAAGCUAGCGUCCCGAUGGAUGUCCUGCCACAGUGCGGACGUACGUCGGUCGUUGCUGUUUGUCGCCGCCGUGCAGUCUCGGACUGUGCGCGUCUCUGUCUGCGAUGAUUCUGUUUCGGGCACUCGCAGGACCCGUCUUGAAACACGGACCAAGGAGUCUAGCAUGUGUGCGAGUCAUUGAGUUUGAUACAAAUGACAAAACUGAAAGGCGCAACGAAAGUGAAGGCGCGCGCUUGUCGCGCGCUCAGGGAGGAUGGAGCGUCGGUCUCGGUCGACCUCUCGCACUCCCUAGGCGUCUCGUUUCCAAUCAGUGAAUGCGGGCGCGCUAUGAGCACAGAUGCUGGGACCCGAAAGAUGGUGAACUAUGCCUGGUCAGGUCGAAGUCAGGGGAAACCCUGAUGGAGGACCGUAGCGAUUCUGACGUGCAAAUCGAUCGUCGGAACUGGGUAUAGGGGCGAAAGACUAAUCGAACCAUCUAGUAGUGUUUUUCCCUCUUCCCGAA
RNAcentral lists this ribosomal RNA (839 nucleotides) under Pseudophilotes panope. Its description in RNAcentral is "partial large subunit ribosomal RNA". It matches the Rfam family "Eukaryotic large subunit ribosomal RNA", at positions 555 to 975 of the family's 3401-position model. The record is from RNAcentral. Lineage: Eukaryota; Metazoa; Arthropoda; Insecta; Lepidoptera; Lycaenidae.